RNAcentral lists this ribosomal RNA (450 nucleotides) under Streptococcus agalactiae. RNAcentral's name for it is "bacterial SSU rRNA". It matches the Rfam family "Bacterial small subunit ribosomal RNA", at positions 337 to 798 of the family's 1533-position model. Lineage: Bacteria; Bacillati; Bacillota; Bacilli; Lactobacillales; Streptococcaceae. The record is from RNAcentral.
UCCUACGGGUGGCUGCAGUCGAGAAUCAUUCACAAUGGGGGAAACCCUGAUGGUGCGACGCCGCGUGGGGGAAUGAAGGUCUUCGGAUUGUAAACCCCUGUCAUGUGGGAGCAAAUUAAAAAGAUAGUACCACAAGAGGAAGAGACGGCUAACUCUGUGCCAGCAGCCGCGGUAAUACAGAGGUCUCAAGCGUUGUUCGGAAUCACUGGGCGUAAAGCGUGCGUAGGCUGUUUCGUAAGUCGUGUGUGAAAGGCGCGGGCUCAACCCGCGGACGGCACAUGAUACUGCGAGACUAGAGUAAUGGAGGGGGAACCGGAAUUCUCGGUGUAGCAGUGAAAUGCGUAGAUAUCGAGAGGAACACUCGUGGCGAAGGCGGGUUCCUGGACAUUAACUGACGCUGAGGCACGAAGGCCAGGGGAGCGAAAGGGAUUAGAUACCCUAGUAGUCACA